GUCUACCGCCAUACCACACUGAAAGCACGUGAUCUCCUCUGAUCCUGGAAGCUAAGCAGGGUGGGACCUGGUUAGUACUUGGAUGGGAGACUGCCUGCAAAUACCUGGUGCUGUAGGCU
This is a ribosomal RNA of Loxodonta africana (African savanna elephant), 119 nucleotides long. NCBI's taxonomy places the organism in Eukaryota, Metazoa, Chordata, Mammalia, Proboscidea, Elephantidae. The record is from Ensembl.